This 229-nucleotide ribosomal RNA is filed under the name uncultured bacterium. Its description in RNAcentral is "partial 16S ribosomal RNA". It matches the Rfam family "Bacterial small subunit ribosomal RNA", at positions 568 to 796 of the family's 1533-position model. The record is from RNAcentral.
UCCGUAGGUGGCUUAAUAAGUGAAAGGUGAAAUCCUUCGGCUCAACCAGAGAACUGCCUUUCAAACUGUUUAGCUUGAGGCUGGGAGAGGAAAGUGGAACUGCUAGUGUAAAGGUGAAAUUUGUGGAUAUUAGCAGGAACGCCUGUGGAGAAGUCGGCUUUCUGGUCCAGUCCUGACACUGAGGGACGAAAGCUAGGGUAGCAAACAGGAUUAGAUACCCUGGUAGUCC